UCGGACUGCAGUCUGCAACUCGACUGCACGAAGCUGGAAUCGCUAGUAAUCGCGGAUCAGCACGCCGCGGUGAAUACGUUCCCGGGCCUUGUACACACCGCCCGUCACACCAUGGAAGUCUGCAAUGCCCGAAGCCGGUGGCCUAACCACUUAUGUGGAAGGAGCCGUCUAAGGCAGGGCAGAUGACUGGGGUGAAGUCGUAACAAGGUAGC
RNAcentral lists this ribosomal RNA (212 nucleotides) under uncultured bacterium. RNAcentral describes it as "partial 16S ribosomal RNA". It matches the Rfam family "Bacterial small subunit ribosomal RNA", at positions 1293 to 1500 of the family's 1533-position model. The record is from RNAcentral.